RNAcentral lists this long non-coding RNA (971 nucleotides) under Vulpes vulpes (red fox). Its description in RNAcentral is "lncRNA (ENSVVUG00000022364.1)". The record is from RNAcentral. Lineage: Eukaryota; Metazoa; Chordata; Mammalia; Carnivora; Canidae.
CAUAUAUUCUCCCUGGCUCUUGACAUGAACACAAGCCCAGUCUCGAGAUUGAACAGUGAGCCGUCCCCCAACGUCCUCUACCCAAAUCUUUGGCUAAACUCAUGGAACAAAUAGUUUUCAUUGCUUCUCUUGAGAUUUUUAGAGGAACGGUCAUUUUCUGAAAAUGAUGUGACUCUUGUCUCUUUCUUUCCAGUAUGUUAGCUUGUUUUGUAUCCAUGUCUAGAACCUGCAGAGUAAAGUUCUAUGACAGGUGAACAGUUGAACAGACCUCACUGCGAUUUCCUCCUGGGAGCCCGGAGGCUGGUGUGUGUUGGGGGAGAAAAAGAGACUCUCCCAAUUCCAUUUGUCUAGUUUAUAGGUGGCAUGUGAGGAUCGCGGUGCAAACCCAACGAGUCCAGAAAUGCAGCCCAGUGGACAGAAUGCAGCUUCCUUCCCCUGCUUUCCAGAGCUCAUCGAAUGGUGCUGUCAUGCCAGCAUUGAUUGUGAACAGAUUUCAGGUACUUCACCUCCAUGACCCCCUCGGAUCAGCGUGACAAUCACUAUUCCCAUUGGAGAGAUAACGGGACUCACAGGGAUAGCAGGAUUUUCUCCAAUAGAGCAGCUAUCGCUUAGUCAACCCUGUUAAUUUAGAAAUAAACUCUUCUUGCUCUCUCCUUCAACACAGAUUUGUCACCUGUGUUCUUUUACAUAGAUCACAGGCUUAAUCGGAUUCUCCAAUAACACUAAAAAGGAAAGAAAAUAUGUAGUGAUGAAUAUGGGGAAUUUGCAGAACGUUAAUCCAUUCUCAUACAUUCAGCUCAUCACCCCAGUCAUAGGAGCUUCCUGUUCGCCUGUUCUGACCUGUGGUAGAGAUAAACUGUGUAUGUCACCUAACAUGCCCGGGAAGACAAGGAAGUCACAAAAUAAAGGAAAACAAUGUAUGUUUUCAGUUUAACUACAUGUCAGGCAAAAUAAAUAAAUAAAAAUGUUGC